UGGGGAAUAUUGCACAAUGGGCGCAAGCCUGAUGCAGCCAUGCCGCGUGUAUGAAGAAGGCCUUCGGGUUGUAAAGUACUUUCAGCGGGGAGGAAGGGAGUAAAGUUAAUACCUUUGCUCAUUGACGUUACCCGCAGAAGAAGCACCGGCUAACUCCGUGCCAGCAGCCGCGGUAAUACGGAGGGUGCAAGCAUUAAUCGGAAUUACUGGGCGUAAAGCGCACGCAGGCGGUUUGUUAAGUCAGAUGUGAAAUCCCCGGGCUCAACCUGGGAACUGCAUCUGAUACUGGCAAGCUUGAGGGUCGUAGAGGGGGGUAGAAUUCCAGGUGUAGCGGUGAAAUGCGUAGAGAUCUGGAGGAAUACCGGUGGCGAAGGCGGCCCCCUGGACGAAGGCUGACGCUAAGGUGCGAAAGAGUGGGGAGCAAACAGG
RNAcentral lists this ribosomal RNA (429 nucleotides) under Chloroflexota bacterium. Its description in RNAcentral is "Chloroflexi bacterium partial 16S ribosomal RNA". It matches the Rfam family "Bacterial small subunit ribosomal RNA", at positions 355 to 776 of the family's 1533-position model. The record is from RNAcentral. Lineage: Bacteria; Bacillati; Chloroflexota.